CUGACAACCCUGGAGACCAGAGUUCUCUAUUAAUCCACAGAACAUGAAACACGCACAGACACAGUGCAAACUUCCCCAAACUGUCUUGCUAGCAUGACUCACUUUGUAUGAACUACUUCACAGGAGAGAAAGUAAUCCAGUAUUCAUGCAGUUCAAUCUUUAGUUUCU
Molecule: small RNA, 168 nt
Filed under: Chelonoidis abingdonii (Abingdon island giant tortoise)
Lineage: Eukaryota; Metazoa; Chordata; Testudines; Testudinidae
Description: TUC338 (ENSCABG00000016747.1)
Source: RNAcentral